RNAcentral lists this ribosomal RNA (497 nucleotides) under uncultured bacterium. RNAcentral's name for it is "partial 16S ribosomal RNA". It matches the Rfam family "Bacterial small subunit ribosomal RNA", at positions 28 to 507 of the family's 1533-position model. The record is from RNAcentral.
GAUGAACGCUGGCGGCGUGCCUAAUACAUGCAAGUCGGGCGAACGGACGAGAAGCUGGCUUUUCUGAUGUUAGCGGCGGACGGGUGAGUAACACGUGGAUAACCUACCUAUAAGACUGGGAUAACUUCGGGAAACCGGAGCUAAUACCGGAUAAUAUUUUGAACCGCAUGGUUCAAGAGUGAAAGACGGUCUUGCUGUCACUUAUAGAUGGAUCCGCGUUGCAUUAGCUAGUUGGUAAGGUAACGGCUUACCAAGGCAACGAUGCAAAGCCGCCCUGAGAGCGACGAUGCACAGCCUGUAUCAGAGACACGGUCGCGACUCCUACGGUGGGACGCAGUAGGGAAUCUUACGCGAUGGAGCAAAGCCUAACGGAGCACAGCCGCCUGAGUCCUGAAGCUCUUAGGCUGCUAAAGCUCUGUUAUUAGGGAAGAACAUAAGUGUAAGUAACUGUGAACAUCUUGACGGUACCUAGACAGAAAGCCCCGGCUAACUCCGUG